CCAGACUCCUACGGGAGGCAGCAGUGGGGAAUAUUGCACAAUGGGGGGAACCCUGAUGCAGCGACGCCGCGUGAGUGAAGAAGUAUUUCGGUAUGUAAAGCUCUGUCAGCAGGGAAGAAGAAAGACGGUACCUGACCAAGAAGCCCCGGCUAACUACGUGCCAGCAGCCGCGGUAAUACGUAGGGGGCAAGCGUUAUCCGGAUUUACUGGGUGUAAAGGGGGCGCAGACGGCGAUGCAAGCCAGGAGUGAAAGCCCGGGGCCCAACCCCGGGACUGCUCUUGGAACUGCGUGGCUGGAGUGCAGGAGGGGCAGGCGGAAUUCCUGGUGUAGCGGUGAAAUGCGUAGAUAUCAGGAGGAACACCGGUGGCGAAGGCGGCCUGCUGGACUGCAACUGACGUUGAGGCCCGAAAGCGUGGGGAGCAAACAGGAUUAGAUACCCGAGUACCA
This 448-nucleotide ribosomal RNA is filed under the name uncultured bacterium. Its description in RNAcentral is "bacterial SSU rRNA". It matches the Rfam family "Bacterial small subunit ribosomal RNA", at positions 331 to 797 of the family's 1533-position model. The record is from RNAcentral.